Molecule: ribosomal RNA, 545 nt
Filed under: uncultured bacterium
Lineage: Bacteria
Description: bacterial SSU rRNA
Rfam family: Bacterial small subunit ribosomal RNA
Source: RNAcentral
AAUAGAUACUCAGGUAGUCCACGCCGUAAACGAUGAGUGCUAAGUGUUAGGGGGUUUCCGCCCCUUAGUGCUGCAGCUAACGCAUUAAGCACUCCGCCUGGGGAGUACGGUCGCAAGACUGAAACUCAAAGGAAUUGACGGGGGCCCGCACAAGCGGUGGAGCAUGUGGUUUAAUUCGAAGCAACGCGAAGAACCUUACCAGGUCUUGACAUCCCAUUGACCGCUAUGGAGACAUAGUUUUCCCUUCGGGGACAGUGGUGACAGGUGGUGCAUGGUUGUCGUCAGCUCGUGUCGUGAGAUGUUGGGUUAAGUCCCGCAACGAGCGCAACCCUUGUUCUUAGUUGCCAUCAUUUAGUUGGGCACUCUAAGGAGACUGCCGGUGACAAACCGGAGGAAGGUGGGGAUGACGUCAAAUCAUCAUGCCCCUUAUGACCUGGGCUACACACGUGCUACAAUGGACGGUACAAACGGUUGCCAACCCGGCGAGGGGGAGCUAAUCCGAUAAAACCGUCCUCAGUUCGGAUUGUAGGCUGCAACUCGCCUAC